Molecule: ribosomal RNA, 305 nt
Filed under: uncultured bacterium
Lineage: Bacteria
Description: bacterial SSU rRNA
Rfam family: Bacterial small subunit ribosomal RNA
Source: RNAcentral
CAGCCUACGGGACGCAGCAGUGGGGAAUAUUGCACAAUGGGGGAAACCCUGAUGCAGCGACGCCGCGUGAGUGAAGAAGUAUCUCGGUACGUAAAGCUCUAUCAGCAGGGAAGAAAAAAAGUCUUUGGCUUUGGACGGUACCUGACUAAGAAGCCCCGGCUAACUACGUGCCAGCAGCCGCGGUAAUACGUAGGGGGCAAGCGUUAUCCGGAUUUACUGGGUGUAAAGGGAGCGUAGACGGCAGCGCAAGUCUGGAGUGAAAUGCCGGGGCUCAACCUCGGGACUGCAUUGGAAACUGUCUGGCU